Anser cygnoides (Swan goose) is the source of this 2182-nucleotide long non-coding RNA. Lineage: Eukaryota; Metazoa; Chordata; Aves; Anseriformes; Anatidae. The record is from Ensembl.
UUAUAUUUCAUAUCAAAAUAUGCAGUAUCUACAUGAAUACUAAAUUAAAGUAAAAUGCAGUAUACACAAACAAAAAUAAAAUCUGUUAAUUUCUACCAGAAAAUAAAACUACUGCAAAAUACUAUUGCAUUUUAUGUUUACAGGAUAAAGCCUUUAAAAGAAUAAAAACUCCAACCUUUUUCUCUUUCUUAUUAAAAUAGCAUAUUGUUCUUAAUAGCAGGAUUUGGCUGGGUGUUCUGGGUUACUGGUUCUAGUUGUCUAUCAGCUCAAGCAGCAGAGGUAAUAGAGAUUCUUAUUAAAUGCCACUUAAAACCUUUGUUCUGAAACUCCUGCUGGAAUUUUCUUCAGCAUCUUCUUCCUUUAGUGUUUUGAAACUGUUCUUAACUAUUUGGUUUAGAAAUUUCGGUUUUGAAAGAGUUUGGUUUGGAAAUUUUCCAAUAAUAACUAUUAUUUGGACUAUUUCAUAGUCUAAAUAUAAUUUCUACCUUACAUUUAUCUGUGGUCAGUUUACAUCUGUUUUCAAGUACAUGCCAUAUAUAUAAGAUAUAUAUAUGUCUUAUACAUAUAAAUGUCAUAUAUCUGUGCAAGUGUGCCUCAUUUACUUUCUCUUAGCUGUGACUAGCAGUUUGGGAAAGCCCUAUAACUGUCUUACAGUCAUCUCUUAUGCUUAUCUGAAAUAUGGAAGGAGGAAAAUAUAAUGUGAUUUGUCAACAUGUGUCUUGAUCACGGUAGAAUAGGGAACAUUCCCCUUUCAACUGGUGGGGUAUUUCUAAUAGUACCAAGUAGCAUAUUUGUAACAUAAAAUUAUAAUAACAAAACCAUGUUUUAUCUUAGGAACAUACAUUAAGAGUCUUGGAACAAGUGUACUUUAAAGAAGAAAUUACAGAACAGCAGCUCUGAAAAUAAUUGCUUUAGCUACUGAUGCUACAAGUUGGUUUAUAUGAGAACACAGCAAAAGAAAAUGUAAACAAGUUCCAUUUUACAAAUGUGAAAAGUGUUGCAUCUGGAGUUUCGAGCCUGAACUUUUCCACGAUCCUGACCUCCAUCAUGCCCACGUGCUGCACUCCCAGUUCAUGGAAUUUGGCAUGGAUGUCUUCUGGGCAUCUCUCCCUUUCUUUUGUAUCUAAUUUUGUACACAGGCAAGUUUCAGCUGAGUGCAAAAAGUACAUUUUCUUUAAUUAGGUCUAGUAUUUGUUCUUGGUAUUCUGUUUGGCUGUCCAUUAACACCUCUCUAAUGGAGUUAUUUUGAAAUCCGUGGAAGUAAAUUUUCAUAUUUUAUUUCCAUCAUAUUCACACCUAUAGGAUAAAAUUCAACAUCUUUUAGAGAGAUUCUGAGGACCAUAUCAUGAGCAAGCUGACCUUUUCUUUUUGUUAAAAAGACAGGGAAAUACAGUGUUUCCCGAUGAAAAUAUAUCCUAUAUCAUAGUUUUUUGUUUUUUCAAAUUUUGUGGCCAAGGCAUAAUCACUAACCAUAUACUUCCUCAUCCUACACUGCUGCCCAGAGGAUGAUUGAAUAGGGACAGACAAAAAAAAAAAAAAAAAAAAAAAAAAUUAAAAAAUAGUUAAAAAAAGGCAAUANNNNNNNNNNNNNNNNNNNNNNNNNCAACCUACACAACUGCCCAAAGGAUAAUUGAAAAGGGAAAAAAAAAAAAAAAAAAAAAAAAAAAAAAAAGUGGAAAAGGAUUGGAAAAAGUGGCAUUGCUUCUGAGAACACUGUUUGUUUCCUCUCCUUUCACACACAAAAAAAAAAUUAAACAAUUCUCUUUUGUGAGUAUGAUUCUUUAAAAGUCAUUUCUCAGCAGUUACCAAGCAAGAGUCAAGUUAGCCAGCCUGUGUGAAGAAAUCAGGCAACUGAACCAACCCAGGCACUGGAGUCAACUUUCAGUGCUCCAUAGAUAUUCUGCUCAAAAACAUUUCAAAAUUCACACACAGAUAUGUAAGAGCAGAUCUGUUUCACCCAGUAAAAAACAAAUUAACAUCUGUCUAGAAAAUGUUGCUCUGUUGUACACUUUGUCCUUCUCUUCAACUCCCACUCCAGUUUUCAUUCAAUUUUAAUUCUUGCUCAGUUCUGUUUUUUUCUGAAGAGUGAACAACUCAGGGAUUGCAACUCUGAACUUCAUGUUUCCUAGCUUGUGAAAAAUAGAUGUGUUCUAGCAGGUGUUCUUGCCAAGACAAAUACAAU